RNAcentral lists this ribosomal RNA (138 nucleotides) under Nannospalax galili (Upper Galilee mountains blind mole rat). Lineage: Eukaryota; Metazoa; Chordata; Mammalia; Rodentia; Spalacidae. The record is from RNAcentral.
GUGUACAGCCAUACCACUCUGAACUCGCUUGAUCUUGUCUGACCUCAGAAGCUAAGCAGAAUCAGGCCUAGUUAAUACUUGGAUGGAUGAAAGAGAUAGCAAAAAGACAAUCAUGAAGUGUAACAGAUGUGGUAUAAA